Molecule: ribosomal RNA, 522 nt
Filed under: Triticum aestivum (bread wheat)
Lineage: Eukaryota; Viridiplantae; Streptophyta; Magnoliopsida; Poales; Poaceae
Description: partial small subunit ribosomal RNA
Source: RNAcentral
AUGGCCAUGGCCAUGUUCACGAUAGCCGCCCACGUCCUCCGCCGCCUACCUGCCAUGAGCGCGGCCCGGUCGUGUCCGGCGCACAACCAAGGCCGCAGGUUUCUCACUACGAACAAGGUGCACGGCCUCUUCAUCAACUACAUCGACCACUGCCGGCCGCACCUCUUCGCCCGCCCCUCCUCCGACUCCAUGAUCGACCCCAUGCUUGACUUCCUGCCCGAGGACAACCACAGGCGCGGGUGGUGGUCGAUCCUGGACCACAGCAACGGCCUCCUCCUCUGCAACAUGGGACCUGGCGAGCUCUGCAUGUUUAACCCGGCGACGCGGCGGUGGACGAUCCUACCCUGGCCCCGGCAGGCCCCGGUUGCGUUUGAUCCUGCCGUGCCUGAGAAGAAGCCACCGUUGCUGGACCCGUCAUCUGAGGACGAGGAUAAUGACAUGCGCCACUUGAUGGAACUGGAAUCGCCACGGACUUCAUGGGCGUUGAUGAGGAUCUUAAGGCUGGCGCGCCUAACAAGCUAG